GUCAGACACUUAUCGUUUUUUGCCUCCCCCAGGGAUAGGAGCGGGCAAGUCCUGACGGACACCUCUGCGCCCCAUACCCUACACCCCAGCCUGGCAUAUAGUUCGCCCGCAACUCCGCAGGCGCGCGCUCCGCAGUGCGGUGGGACCAAGUAGUUCACUCUGGAGGCAGUGGAGACAGGAGCCACGCUGGGACAAGGCCAGCUUUUGGGCGACUCAAGCUCAUGCCCGGAGGUCUCCACAGCAUUCUGUUUCAGGAGUCGUGUGGAUGCAACACUAUACAAGUACCACCAACUGGUUGACUUCAACACAAAAGUUAAUUUCUCAUUGUUCUGGAGACUGGAAAAUCCAAGACAAGGUGCCGGCAGAUUCAGUGUCUGGUGGGGAGAACCCUCUUCCUGGUUCAUGGACAGCCAUCAUUUCACUGUGUCUUCACAUGGUGGAAGGGGUCUCACAGGUGGAAGUACCAGGUGGACUCCCAGAAGGAUCCAUGCCUCAGUGUUCCAGAAUCUCAGGCAGAAAGCAGGAGACAUUCAAUGCAGCGCCCAGACUUGCAAAGCCAGUGCAUACAGCCAAAGUUAAGAGAUGUUCGAGAAGAUGUAAUGUGGGGCACAAGAGUAUCUCAAUCAGAAAUUUCUUGAAGGACUCUUCACUGUAUUGUUUGGUAAAAGAAAUGGAUUUCUGUCCCCCCCCCCCCCCCACACACACACACAUGAACACAUACUUCUUUGUAAUAUUGGGCUUACACUGGUUAUUUUUAUGGAAUUCCAGCCCGGCCAUGGGCUCCCUACACAUGACAUUUAAAGAUAUCCCAGAAUAUCCCCUACCUCCCAUCCUUGGCUGCAUCCCCAUUCCCUUUGCUCAGGAUUUAAUGCAAUUUCAGUCAUUGUACAAAACUGACAGUGUGUUGAAGAGAGAAAGAGAAAAGAGAUAGUGCAGGUGGCCUUGGGUGGAAGGGAGUGAAAGAGAAAUCCUAAGGCUGUGAAGCUGAACAAGCAAGGUGGCUAAUGAGUUAUAAAGAUGAAGGUAGAAAAACAUAGAAUGUCCUUCACAUAAAAAUGUUCAAGCUGUGAAUUUAGAUGGAUAUUAGUUCAAGCUGUGAAUUUAGAUGGAUAUUAAGCUACAAGCAAGGCAAAAGCAUAUCAGUGUGCUUGCCAACAGGUGGCACCAGUGGGUAAACUUGUGAUGCUUAUGUGAGUUUUGGGUUUGGGGGUUUUUCCCUGCCUUCCUUCUUUCUCUCCUUCCUUCUUUCCUUCCUUCCUUCCUUCCUUCCUUCUUUCCUUCCUUCCUUCCCUAUCUCAUUUCCUUCCUUCCCUUUUUCACUC
Molecule: long non-coding RNA, 1322 nt
Organism: Prionailurus viverrinus (fishing cat)
Lineage: Eukaryota; Metazoa; Chordata; Mammalia; Carnivora; Felidae
Exons: 3
Source: RefSeq, a predicted model, not a curated record